GAAGAGGUUAGCAAUCUCCACAAGCCCAACCAGUUCUAUUUGGCCUGAACCUGAGGUUGGAAUAUGCCACUAGCCAAUUUAGAAGAUGGACAAGUUGAAGAAACGUCACAGGAGCCCAAGAGGCUGGCCAGAGAGCCCAGGACUCAGUUCCUCUGUGGGAAGGCACACACACUCUGGCCUACCUCCAGAAGACUUCCUUCAGCCUGAUGUCUUCCUCAAGACCAGCCAACCCCGAACCAUGAGCUGAUGGGGCCACGUGCAUUUCACAGGUUACUGACUGGGUGGGCUGAAUGAUGGCCCCCAAAGACAGCCAGGUCCUAACCCCUGGAACCUGUGAAUAUUACCCUACAUGGCAAAACGGACUUUGCUGGUGUGACUGAAAGCCCUUGAGUGGGGAGAUUAUCCCGGAUUAUUCAGAUGGAUCUUAAAUGUAAUCACAAGGGUCCUUCUAAAAGAGAGGCAGAGGAAGAUUUUACUACAGAAGACAAACAAAGCCAUAUGACAAAGGAAGCAGACAGAGAGAGAGAUUUGGAAAUGCUAUGCUGCUGGCUUUGAAGAUGGGUAAGAGGCCAAGAGCCAAAGAAUGCAAACACUGCAGCUCUGGAUGCUAGAAAGGGCAAGGAAAUGUAGAGCCCCUGCAGGCUCUGCUUACCCCUUAAUUUUGGCCCAGUGAAACUGAUUUCAGAUUUCUGAUCUGCAGAACUGAAAGAGAAUAAAUGUGUGUUGCUUUCAGCCACCAAGUUUGUGGCAAUUUGUUACAGCAGCCACAGGACGCUAAUACAUGACCCUUUACUCUCUGACUCUUGUACUCAGCACUUGGGAUCAAACAGUGAACCCGAUAAACCUCUACACCUCCCAGGGAAAUUGACCAUCUCUCUGUCUCUGGAUUUUAAAAAGGAACAGCCACGUAGACAUUUUAUCAAAGAUAUAUGAAUGGUCAAUAAACACAUGAAAAGAAAAUGCACAAAAUCAUUAGCAUUAGGGCAAUGAAAAUUAAAACCACAAUGAGAUACCACUUCAUACUCACUAGGAUGGCUAUAAUAAAAGACAAUAACAAAUGUCAAAAGUGUGGAAGAACUAUAAUUUUCAUAUAUUGCUGAUGAGAUUGUAACAUGGUACAACUGACUUGGAAAAUAGUUUGGUAGUUUGUUUGGUUUUUUGAGACGGAGUCUUGCUCUGUCGGCCAGGCUGGCGUGCAGUGGUGCAAUUUCGGCUCACUGCAACCUCUGCCUUUCAGGUUCAA
RNAcentral lists this long non-coding RNA (1243 nucleotides) under Homo sapiens (human). RNAcentral describes it as "HSALNT0032494". Lineage: Eukaryota; Metazoa; Chordata; Mammalia; Primates; Hominidae. The record is from RNAcentral.